GUGAGCAAUCUGCCCCUGACUCUGGGAUAAGCGCUGGAAACGGCGUCUAAUACCGGAUAUGAGCUGCGACCGCAUGGUCAGUAGUUGGAAAGAUUUUUCGGUCAGGGAUGAGCUCGCGGCCUAUCAGCUUGUUGGUGAGGUAAUGGCUCACCAAGGCGUCGACGGGUAGCCGGCCUGAGAGGGUGACCGGCCACACUGGGACUGAGACACGGCCCAGACUCCUACGGGAGGCAGCAGUGGGGAAUAUUGCACAAUGGGCGGAAGCCUGAUGCAGCAACGCCGCGUGAGGGAUGACGGCCUUCGGGUUGUAAACCUCUUUUAGCAGGGAAGAAGCGAAAGUGACGGUACCUGCAGAAAAAGCGCCGGCUAACUACGUGCCAGCAGCCGCGGUAAUACGUAGGGCGCAAGCGUUAUCC
RNAcentral lists this ribosomal RNA (416 nucleotides) under Microbacterium sp. F192. Its description in RNAcentral is "bacterial SSU rRNA". It matches the Rfam family "Bacterial small subunit ribosomal RNA", at positions 117 to 546 of the family's 1533-position model. The record is from RNAcentral. RNAcentral also lists the same sequence under 2 other names. Lineage: Bacteria; Bacillati; Actinomycetota; Actinomycetes; Micrococcales; Microbacteriaceae.